This 492-nucleotide ribosomal RNA is filed under the name uncultured bacterium. RNAcentral's name for it is "partial 16S ribosomal RNA". It matches the Rfam family "Bacterial small subunit ribosomal RNA", at positions 29 to 507 of the family's 1533-position model. The record is from RNAcentral.
AGUGAACGCUGGCGGUAGGCCUAACACAUGCAAGUCGAACGGCAGCACAGUAAGAGCUUGCUCUUACGGGUGGCGAGUGGCGGACGGGUGAGGAAUACAUCGGAAUCUACUUUUUCGUGGGGGAUAACGUAGGGAAACUUACGCUAAUACCGCAUACGACCUACGGGUGAAAGCAGGGGAGCUUCGGACCUUGCGCGAGUGAAUGAGCCGAUGCCGGAUUAGCUAGUUGGCGGGGUAAAGGCCCACCAAGGCGACGAUCCGUAGCUGGUCUGAGAGGAUGAUCGGCCACACUGGAACUGAGACACGGUCCAGACUCCUACGGGAGGCAGCAGUGGGGAAUAUUGGCCAAUGGGCGCAAGCCUGACCCAGCCAUACCGCGUGGGUGAAGAAGGCCUUCGGGUUGUAAAGCCCUUUUGUUGGGAAAGAACAACUGCGGGUUAAUACCCCGCUGUUCUGACGGUACCUAAAGAAUAAGCCCCGGCUAACUUCGUG